Molecule: ribosomal RNA, 254 nt
Filed under: uncultured bacterium
Lineage: Bacteria
Description: partial 16S ribosomal RNA
Rfam family: Bacterial small subunit ribosomal RNA
Source: RNAcentral
AUGUACCUACGGGGCGCAGCAGUAGGGAAUCUUCCACAAUGGACGAAAGUCUGAUGGAGCAACGCCGCGUGAGUGAAGAAGGGUUUCGGCUCGUAAAGCUCUGUUGGUAGUGAAGAAAGAUAGAGGUAGUAACUGGCCUUUAUUUGACGGUAAUUACUUAGAAAGUCACGGCUAACUACGUGCCAGCAGCCGCGGUAAUACGUAGGGUGCAAGCGUUAUCCGGAUUUAUUGGGCGUAAAGGGCUCGUAGGCGGU